Molecule: ribosomal RNA, 250 nt
Filed under: uncultured bacterium
Lineage: Bacteria
Description: partial 16S ribosomal RNA
Rfam family: Bacterial small subunit ribosomal RNA
Source: RNAcentral
CACGUAUGGGGCGAGCGUUGUUCGGAAUCAUUGGGCGUAAAGGGCGCGCAGGCGGUUGUGCAAGUCCGGUGUGAAAGCCCACAGCUUAACUGUGGAGACGCGCUGGAAACUGUAUGACUAGAGUUCAGGAAGGGAAGCUGGAAUUCCAGGUGUAGGGGUGAAAUCUGUAGAUAUCUGGAAGAACAUCAGUGGCGAAGGCGAGCUUCUGGCCAUGAACUGACGCUGAGGCGCGAAAGCGUGGGGAGCGAAC